This is a long non-coding RNA of Canis lupus familiaris (dog), 1077 nucleotides long. RefSeq lists it as uncharacterized. Lineage: Eukaryota; Metazoa; Chordata; Mammalia; Carnivora; Canidae. The record is from RefSeq and is a predicted model, not a curated record. The transcript has 3 exons.
GGAAGAGGUAAAUUUGAAGUGGUAGUCUGGGGCCAUAGUUUGAGGAAGUGCAAGUUUUGGGAACACCUUGAAAUGGACUUAACAAAUAUGUAUUCAGUACCGAAACAUACCUAGUACCCUUCCAGAUGCUCAGGGGACUUACAUUAAAAGAGCAGAACUUAAAAAAAAUGGGCAGAGAAACUCAAGACACAUUUUUCCAAAGACAUUUCAAUGACCGACAAAUUUUACAAGGUGAAUAGAAUAUAUUAAAAACAGAGGGAAUUGAGUAACUUGUCCCACAUUGGGAUUCAAACUCAAACUAUUGACUUGUGAACUCAAGCUCUCAGUCAAGGUGUCGGCAUACCUCCUCUGCAAACUCCAAGAUCGGCUCUUCAGACUCCAACAAAAACAGGACAGAUUAUAUCAACUAUCAGCUCCGUGUUAGACUAUCAGCAGCCUUCAGUGAUGCUGUGAGUCUCAGUAUUAGUUACUGUCUUAAACGAGGCUCCCAAGGAGUAGAGUUUGAAAAAGAAAAAGAGGCUCAUGCAGGUGAUUUAUUGAUGGAGUGCUCUUGGAAAAAAACCAACAACCACAAACCCACAUGAAGGUAAGAAGAGCAGAAAAGAGAAAAAAGCCAAGCAAAAUGUGGCUAAAAUCUACCCUCAGCCUGACCUCACAGGGAGCUCUGGAGCAUGAGGAAUAUCACAGAGCUGGUCUAUCUUGACACAAGGGCCCAGGCAUCAUCAGUCAUAUACUGACUCUUGUCUGCAAUAGUAGCAGGGGGGAGGGGCAUAAACUCAUAGGUGUCUCUAUGUAAAGUGAUUCCCAACAGACAAGGGCAUUUCUCCAGAGAAAAAUAUUUCUGUGAGCCACUUAGCAUCAAUAAUCACAACAGCUGGGAGAAAGGUGUCCUGUCAAACAAAUAAUGUGGAAAGGAUAACAACAGCUUCUGCUACAGGUAGAAGACAAGGUAGAAGGCUGCUUGACAGAGAAUAUCAUCAGUGUACUUUGUUUUCUGGUGUAACUACCAGUAACCUGCAAGAUGAAACUGGCUUCUUCUCCCAAUCUACUACUAAUGCUGUUUUUCAUUAAAUUCUU